AGUGGCGGACGGGUGUGUAACGCGUGAGAAUCUGGCUUCAGGAGGGGGACAACAGUUGGAAACGACUGCUAAUACCCCAUAUGUCUACGGAUGAAACGGUGAAUUCCGCCUGAAGAUGAGCUCGCGUCGGAUUAGCUAGUUGGUGAGGUAAAGGCUCACCAAGGCGACGAUCCGUAGCUGGUCUGAGAGGAUGAUCAGCCACACUGGGACUGAGACACGGCCCAGACUCCUACGGGAGGCAGCAGUGGGGAAUUUUCCGCAAUGGGCGAAAGCCUGACGGAGCAACGCCGCGUGCGGGAAGACGGCCUGUGGGUUGUAAACCGCUUUCCUCUGGGAAGAAUAAGUUGACGGUACCAGAGGAAUCAGCAUCGGCUAACUCCGUGCCAGCAGCCGCGGUAAUACGGAGGAUGCAAGCGUUAUCCGGAAUUAUUGGGCGUAAAGCGUCCGCAGGCGGCUUAUCAAGUUUGCUGUUAAAGGUCGGGGCUCAACUCCGGUUAGGCAGUGGAAACUGAUAGGCUAGAGUGUGGUAGGGGUAGAGGGAAUUCCCAGUGUAGCGGUGAAAUGCGUAGAUAUUGGGAAGAACACCAGUGGCGAAGGCGCUCUACUGGGCCACAACUGACGCUGAGGGACGAAAGCUAGGGGAGCGAAAGGGAUUAGAUACCCCUGUAGUCCUAGCUGUAAACGAUGGAUACUAGGUGUU
Molecule: ribosomal RNA, 700 nt
Filed under: uncultured Leptolyngbya sp.
Lineage: Bacteria; Bacillati; Cyanobacteriota; Cyanophyceae; Leptolyngbyales; Leptolyngbyaceae
Description: bacterial SSU rRNA
Rfam family: Bacterial small subunit ribosomal RNA
Source: RNAcentral